AGAUACUAUUAGACUUGAGACCGGGAGAGGUUAGAGGUAUCCCAGGGUAGAGGUGAAAUUCUGUAAUCCUGGGAGGACCGCCUGGUUGCGAAGGCGUCUAACUGGAACGGUUCUGACGGUGAGGACGAAAGUUAGGGGCGCGAACCGGAUUAGAUACCCGGGUAGUCCUAACUGUAAACGAUGCGGACUUGGUGUUGGGGUGGCUUUGAGCUGCUUCAGUGCCGAAGGGAAGCUGUUAAGUCCGCCGCCUGGGAAGUACGGUCGCAAGACUGAAACUUAAGGAAUUGCGGGGGAGCACCACAACGCGUGGAGCCUGCCGGUUUAAUUGGAUUCAACGCCGGACAUCUCACCAGAGGCGACAGCUGUAUGAUAGCCAGGUUGAUGACUUUGCUUGACUAGCUGAGAGGAGGUGCAUGG
This 417-nucleotide ribosomal RNA is filed under the name uncultured archaeon. RNAcentral's name for it is "bacterial SSU rRNA". It matches the Rfam family "Archaeal small subunit ribosomal RNA", at positions 579 to 997 of the family's 1478-position model. The record is from RNAcentral.